This 465-nucleotide ribosomal RNA is filed under the name uncultured bacterium. Its description in RNAcentral is "partial 16S ribosomal RNA". It matches the Rfam family "Bacterial small subunit ribosomal RNA", at positions 28 to 507 of the family's 1533-position model. The record is from RNAcentral.
GACGAACGCUGGCGGCGUGCUUAACACAUGCAAGUCGAACGGAAAGGCCCUGCUUGCAGGGUACUCGAGUGCCGAACGGGAGAGUAACACGUGGGUGAUCUGCCCUGCACUUCGGGAUAAGCCUGGGAAACUGGGUCUAAUACCGGAUAAGAGCCAUUUUUGGUGUGAUGGUUGGAAAGUUUUUUCGGUGUAGGAUGAGCUCGCGGCCUAUCAGCUUGUUGGUGGGGUAAUGGCCUACCAAGGCGGCGACGGGUAGCCGGCCUGAGAGGGUGGACGGCCACAUUGGGACUGGGAUACGGCCCAGACUCCUACGGGAGGCAGCAGUGGGGAAUAUUGCACAAUGGGGGCAAGCCUGAUGCAGCGACGCCGCGUGGGGGAUGAAGGCCUUCGGGUUGUAAACUCCUUUCGCUAGGGACGAAGCUUUUUGUGACGGUACCUAGAUAAGAAGCACCGGCUAACUACGUG